RNAcentral lists this ribosomal RNA (388 nucleotides) under uncultured bacterium. RNAcentral's name for it is "bacterial SSU rRNA". It matches the Rfam family "Bacterial small subunit ribosomal RNA", at positions 28 to 414 of the family's 1533-position model. The record is from RNAcentral.
GACGAACGCUGGCGGCGUGCUUAACACAUGCAAGUCGAGCGGUAAGGCCCUUUCGGGGGUACACGAGCGGCGAACGGGUGAGUAACACGUGGGUGACCUGCCCUCAGCUCUGGGAUAAGCCUGGGAAACCGGGUCUAAUACUGGAUAUGACUCCAUGACGCAUGUUGUGGGGUGGAAAGCCUUGUGCGGCUGAGGAUGGGCCCGCGGCCUAUCAGCUUGUUGGUGGGGUGAUGGCCUACCAAGGCGACGACGGGUAGCCGGCCUGAGAGGGCGACCGGCCACACUGGGACUGAGACACGGCCCAGACUCCGUACGGGAGGCAGCAGGUGGGGAAUCUUGCGCAAUGGGACGAAAGCCUGACGCAGCGACGCCGCGUGAGGGAUGACGG